UGAUCAGCAAUAUCAGCAUAGUUGCUAAGUUUUCAACAAUCAAACCCCUCACUUGCACACAAGCAAAUUAAAACGAGAAAUACUAUCUAUGAACAGAUUAUCAUGCUAGUCAACAUACAGCUAAUUUCCACUAUUAAAAUUAAUAUGUAAUAAUUAAAAGACCAGGAUUUUUUGAAGUCAAAUGGAAGCCUAUUUCUACAUCAUUGUUAGAGAAGAUUAUCCUGAAAUCGUUCAUUUCCUGUUGAUCAUCAAAGAAUGAGUUAUUGAUAGCCUUGGCUAUUGUAGAAGGAAAUUGUACCAUGUUAACCAGUGAACAUAACAGGUAAUAAAUUCUACCAUAUAAGAAAAAAGUACAGCUCAAUAUGUGGUGUUAAUUAGCAAUCAGUUUGCUCAAUUACAAGUUUAUGUUUAGAUGAUUAAGAUGUCACUUUUACUUCUUGUGUAAUUUAGCUACAUAUCAGAUGCUGAACCGAGGGGAAAAAGGGAAGGGGAAAAAAAGGAUAGAUCAGAGAAGUA
RNAcentral lists this unclassified non-coding RNA (516 nucleotides) under Hevea brasiliensis (rubber tree). Lineage: Eukaryota; Viridiplantae; Streptophyta; Magnoliopsida; Malpighiales; Euphorbiaceae. The record is from RNAcentral.